This is a non-coding RNA of Penaeus vannamei (Pacific white shrimp), 1374 nucleotides long. NCBI's taxonomy places the organism in Eukaryota, Metazoa, Arthropoda, Malacostraca, Decapoda, Penaeidae. The record is from RefSeq and is a predicted model, not a curated record.
CAGCCACACACGCAGAGCCCACAGCCAGCCCGAGUGAAACCCCACCAGCUGGACCGUGGAUCGAGGCCGCGUUCAAACGUGAGCACCCUCGUUAAUAACCGCGCAUGCGCAGUGUACUCCUGGAAAACCGUAAUCGAGUGGGCCGCUGCUCACGGCGCUGCACGCACUCGCUCCCCGUGCACUCGGUCUAGCAGCUCUGAUUGCAUUCGGCGUUUUGGAUUCCACAAACGUGUUUAUUUUUCCUGUUUUCGGAAGGCUAGUUGUCCUGGCGCGCAAAUGGAGCGCUGCGUAGGACCUCAGCGCUGAGGACACGAAACGCGGAGUGAAGUGUCGAGAUUACGAGGAGUGUUUUGAUUAUCUUUACCCGAAUAUAAGGGCUCGUGAUCGGUGACUGCUGUGACGUGAAAUGAUCAUUGGAUUAUGUGCUGCGUUCUGUGCCGCCUGAGAGUGCCUUCGUGUUAGAUUCCCUGAGGUUCGCUUUUCGAAAAUGCUUUCUUCUCAUCGGAGUCGCCGCAAUUUGUAUGAUGGCGUGCUUCCGAAGUGCAUGGUCAGCUCCCUUGGGCUUGCUGACUUCGCACAACGGCGACCUCGCUCCGUACCUGACCUCGUCCAGCUUGAACGUGCCUCAUCGCCAGUACCUGCACCUUGACCACUUGGCCGAGGAGGAGUCGAAGCCGAAGCCAAGAGGAGUCCGCCCUGUGCUGCUCGGACGCCCGCUGCCCGCCGUCGACCCGCGCCUGCCCGCCCGCGCCCAUCCCUACUCGCUGCUCUAUCUCCACUUCGUGCCCGUUGAGCAGCUGCAGUGAUUUCGACGAUUUCAGGUCGACCCGAAGUCAAACAAGAUGCGACAAUUGUAUAACUUAAUAUGCGUGCAUGCUUGCUCACUCUAACACACACACAGACACGCACGUACACACACACACCUACAGACACUCAUAGAUACACACACACACACACAGACACUCACAGACACACAGACACACAGACACACACACACACACACACACACACAACACACACACACACACACACACACACACACAUACACACACACACACACUUACACGUCACAAAACUUUUCCAAUAUAGGCUGCCCUGAACCAAAUCGUUCAUCACGUUGCUCUCACUCAGUUCACAAUGCCUGACUACAGUUUAAUUCGUACAAAUGCAUUAAACAAGCAGUUCCAGCGGCUUCCCUGGAACGCCAACUUACUCUUCUUUUUAGCUACAGAUGCGCUACACUCUCUUUCCCUUCUGCGUUUGUUUUUACUGCAGUAACUAAUAGUGAAGGAAUUAGGAAAUUAACCAACAUGUAACGAUACAAAAAUAUAAUGAGAAAAAAAUGUAACAAUCUUGAAUAAAAACUAAACUUAC